UGAUCACGGGCUGACGGCAUCACGGCAUUUUGUUUAUGUUUAAAAAGUUAUUAGGUGCACUAAGUUUACUGAUUUUAUCCUACAUAGCUUCUUAAGCAGCAAACAAGAAAUGACGAAGAAGAGAUGGGCCAACAUUGAACAAAGCAAAAUAGAGAAAUCAGUUGCUUCAUGGCUGGCACAGACACAAUUAAAAUCAAAGACUUAGAAAGGGGCAGGGUGUCAAAGAGCACAUGAAGAACAGGAAGAUGAGGAUCAUGAAGCCGCCGACGCUUGAAUGAUGUGUAAAUAAUGUAUUGUCAGGGUGUCUACGAACCGGGAAAUCCGGGAAUGAACUUAUUUUUUUACUGAAAUGUACUGUUUUUAGUAAAUAUGGGUAGUUUUUAGUGGUAAUUGUCCUUAAAUAGUUGUGUGGGCCAUUUUAAGUAUGACAUAAAAAUUUGUUAGAAGAACAUAAAAGGUUUUUUAUCAAAUGUUUGCUUACAUUUUCAUCAUUUAUUACUAUAGAGUAAUUAUGCAAUAGAAACCACAUUAGCAGUCUCAAAGCCAUAAAUAUUUUAUCUCGACAAUCACAUCAAGUCAAGUACUUCAAAAAACUUAUGACCCAGUAGCAAAGCUCAUAAAAGUUGUAUCACUGUCAUUCCUUGGCAACUAAUUUAUUUAUUACUAGGGUUAUUAUCAUUAGAUCCCAAACCUAUUUGAUCAUGGAAAUAAUAGUUUUAUAUUAGCUGUUAAAUUUAACUUCUUACUUGUACUUUCAUCUUGAAGAUUCAAUUUGCCGUUGGCCGUUGCCUACUCCUUUAAAAACUGUUUACGGUUUCAUAUUAAACUUCGAAUUAAUAUACAGUGUUAUUUUAUAAGUUAAAUCCUUUUUUAUGGACAUUUUAUCUUUCAAUUGACAAAACCACGAGCAUUGUUGUUUGCAUUAAUUUUUUAUCAUCACACAGGCCUACUUGGUCUCAAAAAAUCAUGUCCUUGCAUUUCAUGUAUCUUUGUCUUAUAUUGUUGGC
Long non-coding RNA from Macrosteles quadrilineatus (aster leafhopper), 1007 nucleotides. RefSeq lists it as uncharacterized. NCBI's taxonomy places the organism in Eukaryota, Metazoa, Arthropoda, Insecta, Hemiptera, Cicadellidae. The record is from RefSeq and is a predicted model, not a curated record. The transcript is spliced from 3 exons.